GGUCAAGCAUUAAGAGCGCAGGGUGGAUGCCUUGGCACUGAGAGCCGAUGAAGGACGUGAUAAGCUGCGAAAAGCUUCGGGGAGGAGCAAAUAUCCAUUGAUCCGGAGAUAUCCGAAUGGGGAAACCCACUUGAGCAAA
Molecule: ribosomal RNA, 139 nt
Filed under: Blautia sp. OF11-22
Lineage: Bacteria; Bacillati; Bacillota; Clostridia; Lachnospirales; Lachnospiraceae
Description: partial 23S ribosomal RNA
Rfam family: Bacterial large subunit ribosomal RNA
Source: RNAcentral